CUCCUGAGAAGAAGCCAUGGAUUUCACAGCCAGGAGAUGUGGGGCUCAGACGGGAUGAGUAUGUUCCUCUACGUCCUGGUUGCUGGAGUGCACCUUAGGACUUCAGCUUAGAGUGCAAUCUACACUGUCAGCUCUCUGGCUCUCCAGCCUUCAGACUACACCACCGGCUUUCCUGGGUGUCCAGCUCGCAGACAGCAGAUGAGUCUCCAGGGGUGCAGAGGUGCCGUUGGGUUUUGAUUAACAGCACAGUUCUGUUUACGGAAGAGACCUGAAAUCAACAUUUCUGGAUUGAUUUUCUGACCAGCAUAGCUCCCUGUGACUGACACAUUCCUCAGAGUAUGCUGUGAUCUGAGGGAGAUACAUUCAGAAGAAGGACUCCCAGGCAGGUGGAUAGGAAUGACCCGAAUGUUAAAAUUUAGAUCGUCUCUCCGCAUCCCUUCCAAGAGCUGGCAAUGAGCCUACAGUGUAAUUCAGAACCCAUUGCAACCUUCCAUGAUGUGUGAACUGUCAGAGAAAGUGCCUCCUCCUUCCUUAUCUAAUGGCAUAUUAUGUCUGAUUAGGGAGGUAAAAGAAGGCUGUGUAUGGAAGGUGAGUGUGAUGGACUGAACUGUGUUUUCCUAGAUUCAUAUAUCGAAGGCCUAACCCCUAGUGUGACUGUAUUUGGAGACUGGACUUU
Long non-coding RNA from Homo sapiens (human), 676 nucleotides. RefSeq lists it as uncharacterized. Lineage: Eukaryota; Metazoa; Chordata; Mammalia; Primates; Hominidae. The transcript is spliced from 5 exons. The record is from RefSeq and is a predicted model, not a curated record.